UCUGCAAUUUGUCAAGGUUUCUCGUAUAAGCGUUUAUCGUAGUACUGUGCGGUGUCGUGGAGUCGUUUGUCAUUGUUGGGGAUAGUUUCUCUUUGCAGAGACGCUUUUUAUAUUUCCUUCGGGGCUCAGUUCAGGGUAAAUUGAAUGCGGGAUUGAAACUGUUUGAUUUUACCGUUGCAUCGACGCUUAUUUCGAACGUGUAUCAGGCAUUAAUUUUGUUAUUAUUAUCAUAAGAUAGUGGAGUGGCUAAAAAUGCUUUCAAUAUACUUAUGAACAUUACUAUUAUUACCUGAAUUAUAUACUAAUAAUAGAUAACCGAACGAUAAAACACUAUCAGUCCUACUAUGUAUACAUACAGACAACUUCUCAAAUCCAAUUGCAAAACAUAAGUUGCUAACGAAUGGCAUAAGCCGAGCAAUUUCGCACAGUCCGCGCCGCGAAAGAAUCGCUAGUCAAAGAGAGAAACGUGCAGCCCCAAAACAGCUUCGCCAUCAUAAUCGAAUACAUCAAACGCAGCGAACUCAAUUCCUUUGUCCCUCCUAUACCCGGGGUAUAUAUACAUUCUCCUCAUUCCGUCGAGUGCAGUCAUUUCUCGCCAGGCCGUCGAUCAAUACACGCAUCAUUUCUUCGUCCUUCCGGCGAUAAAAUUUGUCCUUUGACGUAGGAAGAUUCAGGUCAAAUCAUUCAAUAAAGUAUUUCGUUUAUUCAGCGUAAAAUGCUCACUCACUAGAUGUCCAAUCAAAAAUCAACAUCGGACGAAUUCGUAUUACCUCACAAUCAUGGAAUCAUAAAAAAAGCCGCAGAGAUAACAACAGAAAUUAAAUUCCAAGUGAAGGAUCGUACUACGAAGUAUGAAAGACAAAACGUGUAUCGACUUACUGUCAUCGUCGACCGUGCCGUUGUGCGAUAUCUCGAUACAGCGCGCGCAGUUCUUGGUGCACCUCUCGCAGGCAGCCGGAUGUCCCGGAUCGGACAGUAGUACCACUUCUCCCUCGUAGCCCUUGUUGGCUAUGAUUUUUUUAAAGCCUGCAAUGCGAAAGAUCGGCGAAGGUUACACAAAUUUUUUGUGUAAAAAUAAUAAUACGACGAACCUGAACACGACUUGUAUACCUUUGAGAAUAAAAUAGCUAUGAUAAACACUCGAUUCUACAA
Nasonia vitripennis (jewel wasp) is the source of this 1152-nucleotide long non-coding RNA. RefSeq lists it as uncharacterized. The record is from RefSeq and is a predicted model, not a curated record. Lineage: Eukaryota; Metazoa; Arthropoda; Insecta; Hymenoptera; Pteromalidae. The transcript is spliced from 3 exons.